GCGCGAAAACUUUACAAUGCUGGCAACAGCGAUAAGGGAACCUCGAGUGCCAGGUUACAAAUCUGGCUGUCGAGAUGCCUAAAAAGCAUUUCAUAGCAAGGGCCAGGCAAGACCGGUGCCAGCCGCCGCGGUAACACCGGCGGCUCGAGUGGUAACCGUUAUUGUUGGGUCUAAAGGGUCUGUAGCCGGCCGGAUAAGUCUCUUGAGAAAUCUGGCAGCUUAACUGUCAGGCUUUCAGGAGAUACUGUCUGGCUCGAGGCCGGGAGAGGUGAGAGGUACUUCAGGGGUAGGGGUGGAAUCUUGUAAUCCUUGAAGGACCACCAGUGGCGAAGGCGUCUCACCAGAACGGACCUGACGGCAAGGGACGAAAGCUAGGGGCACGAACCG
RNAcentral lists this ribosomal RNA (387 nucleotides) under uncultured bacterium. RNAcentral describes it as "bacterial SSU rRNA". It matches the Rfam family "Archaeal small subunit ribosomal RNA", at positions 339 to 726 of the family's 1478-position model. The record is from RNAcentral.